UUUCUAGAACUUUGGAAGUUGCUUACAAUGUUCUUCCUGUUUACUCAGAAAAGUCUCUCAUCUUCUUGGCCUGGUGGCCAAAGACUGGUGUUAUCCUGAAACCUCUGCCCCCAAUGCCAUGGAGACCACAGGAUCCUGGGAUGACCGUCUAGAUUUCUACUUGGCUGACAGACAUCAUCUAGGGAUUACCUGUGGACUGCAAACUGCUGAGCUCUAGACUUGGUGAAAGCUGAUGUGAACCACUGCAGCCGAUACAAUUGUUCAUUUCUUCACCUGGAUCAGCUAAUCAGAUGCUUCUGUAAAUGCCCUAUUACCCAGCCUAUGACGAGCCCUUCACCCUUCCUGGGCCCUGACAAUGGUACCCUAGUUUCAGUUGAAAGUAGUUACAAAAGAGAGUACAUCAUCCCUUGCCCUGUAACAAGCUGAGAUGCUAAGUCAAAAGGAAACCCCCUGGAUAAGGGACAAAAUGUCUACUUAUAAUACCAAUUGACAUACCAGGAAUGUGGGCACAGAUUUGUCAACUUGGUAGAUUCAUGAACUGAAAUAGUUCUACAAUAUGAUAGGGCAUGUGGCCGGCUUUAUGCAGAACAAAGAGGCAUCAUAUGGCUUUAAGAGAAAAUUGUUAUUUCUGUACAAACCAUUCAGGAUUAUAAUCUGGCUGUACUAAAAAAAAGAUUACAAAAAGGGGACCUGAGAUAAAAUAAAUUCCUGGUGCCCCAUCAAUUUCCAGGCUCCUCCUAGAAAGUAACUCUGAUGUCAGUCAUCAUACAACCUUUAGCCUUCUGCUUCUGCUAUUUACUGUUGGCUCUUACAUCAUUGAUACAAUAAUUAAAUAAUUCCUCUCUGGUACCAUUAAGCUGAUGGUUAUAGAUACCAUAUAAAUAAGUACCCAUCAUAGAGUCAAGGAUUUGACCCAGGAUAUAACUCAAGGGGUAGGGGUGGGGGGAAUGUAAGACCCUGUUAACCUAUAAGCUCAACCCUCCCAAGGACCAAGUAACUUCCUGGAAUGCUGGGAGUUGUAGUUCUUGGAAAAUAACAAGGCCUCAUGGGAAGAAAAAGUGGCAGUAUGGGUUUGUUCUUAUGAGUCCUUGUAAAA
Molecule: non-coding RNA, 1096 nt
Organism: Peromyscus maniculatus bairdii (prairie deer mouse)
Lineage: Eukaryota; Metazoa; Chordata; Mammalia; Rodentia; Cricetidae
Source: RefSeq, a predicted model, not a curated record